This is a long non-coding RNA of Helicoverpa armigera (cotton bollworm), 952 nucleotides long. RefSeq lists it as uncharacterized. NCBI's taxonomy places the organism in Eukaryota, Metazoa, Arthropoda, Insecta, Lepidoptera, Noctuidae. The transcript is spliced from 2 exons. The record is from RefSeq and is a predicted model, not a curated record.
CCUGCAGUCUCGACAUAAGAUAGCGAUUCGAUCGCAAACUGACAGUCGCUAAAUAUUAACGAAAAUAUUCGCUUGCCAUAACGACAGUAACGAUAAACGCAAGUCUCGACAGCCGAGAUAGCGGGCAACAUCGCUAAUUAUCAUGACAUAUUCGUGUCGGUACGAUAGCGAAAACCGUAUUCAUAGUGCGGUGAAUUUGUAUUAAAAUGUUGCAUGUAAAAAAAAUCCUUGUAUUAUAGGGAGAAAUGGUAGACAAGAUUUGCACAACCAAUUUUGUUUCCUUUGACAAUUAUAAAGAAAAUAGAUGAACCUUAUCAUAUUAAAACUUUUUGCAUCGAACCGUGUAAGUAAAACAUACCGUUUUUUAAGAAAACACAUAUUAAAGAUCUUAAUAGUUUGCGUACUUGCAAUACAGACAUAGAACAUAAACAAACUGUCAAUGUCAAGUUUGUUUGUGCACUUGAACAUUGGUUUGAUUUAUAAUAAUAAUAAAGGAGAACGGUGUAUUCAUUACUAUUCAUGGACGGUGAAGUCAUUGAAACAGGCGCAGGCCUGCCGGGUGCCAGCAGCUUGAGCGUCAGGUAAGUACAUCUACAACGAGAAUUUUUUAUUCCUAUUCUUGGUACUUACUAAAUUGAAUACUUUGUAUACAUCCGAAGUAUUCUGUGUUUACAUAAUGACUACUUUAAUGUUUCAGGCGUAAGCGUCUGCGUAGCCCUCGUGUUACACCCGCUCAAAUUGAUGCACUACUAUCAAUAUUAGAAGCGCGUCCAUAUUUGCACGCGGAAAUUUACCGGCUUGCAGGGCCGGGAAAAUUUCGAAACGGGCUGGAGGGAGGUUGCCGAGGAGCUCAAUAAUCUCCCUAACGGGUCUAGAAAGACACCAGAGCAGUGGAUGACGGUUUGGAGAGACUUAAAAAGCCGCGCUUGCAGUAAGGCGGCAAAAUUAAAAA